RNAcentral lists this ribosomal RNA (259 nucleotides) under uncultured Glomus. RNAcentral's name for it is "partial 18S ribosomal RNA". It matches the Rfam family "Eukaryotic small subunit ribosomal RNA", at positions 624 to 886 of the family's 1831-position model. The record is from RNAcentral. Lineage: Eukaryota; Fungi; Glomeromycota; Glomeromycetes; Glomerales; Glomeraceae.
AAGCUCGUAGUUGAAUUUCGGGGUUAGUAGGUUGGUCAUGCCUCUGGUAUGUACUGGUCUCACUGAUUCCUCCUUCCUUAUGAGCCGUAAUGCCAUUAAUUUGGUGUUGCGGGGAAUUUGGACUGUUACUUUGAAAAAAUUAGAGUGUUUAAAGCAAGCUAACGCUUGAAUACAUUAGCAUGGAAUAAUGAAAUAGGACGUUCGAUCUUAUUUUGUUUGGUUUCUAGGAUUGACGUAAUGAUUAAUAGGGAUAGUUGGG